Molecule: non-coding RNA, 1527 nt
Organism: Nylanderia fulva
Lineage: Eukaryota; Metazoa; Arthropoda; Insecta; Hymenoptera; Formicidae
Source: RefSeq, a predicted model, not a curated record
AAUGUUCUCUCUCGCCAUCGCCAUAUUGAUAUAAAAGUUUGUCUUGUGAAAUACACGAUGUGCAGUAUUCCUGUAUGAUGUAGUUAUCCAAUCCUUCUUGUUGUGUCAAAUAUAAAUUUUAAUUUUUAGUUAUUAAAUUCUACGUGAAAAGAUCAUAUUAAUACAUAUAAUUAUAUAUUGAAAGCUAGCUUUUGAAUUAAAACCAUGUGAAUUGAAUCUUCGGAUAUAUAAUAGUAACGUCAAUAAAUUUUGGUUUAGGUUUUCAAAUACACAUUUGCAUUGAAACUUGAAGCAGUUUUAUUUUAAGGACGCUACUGAUUUUCACAUACGUAUUUGCAUAGAAUCUUGAAGUUUAUUUUUAAGAAGGCUUCUAACAAGUUUAAAGUUAUCAAGAAUUUUGUUUCAUAUAAUUCUGCUAUUAGAGAAACAUAAUAAGUUUUAAAUUCUGGAAAGAUAUUUGCAUUUUUGAGCAUACGGCAUUUUCCGGGACCGCUAAACUUUUUAUAAGAUUAAAACGAUUUAAAUUGUAUCUUCAGCUAUAAUGCAUUAAUUUUGGUUUGAAUGUCCACACACAUCAAUGCAUUAAUGGUUGAAAUAAUAAUUCUAUUUUAAAAAGGGCUUUUGGUUUUCACACCCACAUUUGCGUUGAGACUACUGCGAGAGAGAAGUAGGUUUAUUUUUAAGAAGGCUUCUGAUUAAAACAAUUUAAAUUGAAUAUUCGGGUAUAAUGCAUUAAUUUUUGUUUGGAUGUCCACACACAUCAAUGCAUUAAUGGUCGAAAUAAUUCUAUUUUAAGAAGAGCUUCUGUUUUAAUUGCUACUUUAAAAGAUCAUAUUCACAUUAUAAUUACAUGUUGCGAUCUGAUAUUUGGAUUAAAGGUUUUCACAUACACUUUGCAUUGAAACUUAAAGUAGUUUUAUUUUAAGAAAGUUACUGGUAAGUCUACAUUUAUCAAGGAUCUUAUUUCAAAUAAUUCUGCUAUUAGAAUGAGUAUUAUGUAUUUAGAUUUAAAAAAUUAUUUGCAUUAUUGAACGUACGGCAUGUUCCGGGACCGAUUAAAUUUUUUAAAUAUAAUGUUUCUUUGGAUUAUUUCAAUUAAAAUUUUAACUUUCAAGUAUUAAAUUCUACUUCAAAAGACCAUAUUUACAUGUAAUUAUGUGUUGACAGUUGAUUUUUGUAUUAAUACCAUGCAAAUUAAAUUUUCGGAUGGAAUAAUAUCGACAGUAAAUUUUGGUUUAGAUUUUCACAUACACAUUUACAUUGAAACUUGAAGUAGUUUUAUUUUAAGAAGAUUUCUGAUAAGUCUACAGUUAUCGAGAAGUUUUUUAUAAUUCUGCUAUUAGAGCAACAUAAUAAGUUCUAAAUUAUUCAGACAUUUGCAUUUUUGAACAUACACAGCAUGUUCCGGGAUUAGUAAAGCUUUUUUUAAAUAUUGUCUCUUUUUAUUCUUUUAUAAGUCUUAAUUCGAAAUUAUAAUAAAUACUACUUCGAAAGAUCAUAUUUACAUUUUGAUUAACUACUGAAAGC